Molecule: ribosomal RNA, 568 nt
Filed under: uncultured bacterium
Lineage: Bacteria
Description: bacterial SSU rRNA
Rfam family: Bacterial small subunit ribosomal RNA
Source: RNAcentral
CCUACGGGAGGCAGCAGUGGGGAAUAUUGCACAAUGGGCGAAAGCCUGAUGCAGCGACGCCGCGUGAGGGAUGACGGCCUUCGGGUUGUAAACCUCUUUCAGCAGGGAAGAAGCGAAAGUGACGGUACCUGCAGAAGAAGCGCCGGCUAACUACGUGCCAGCAGCCGCGGUAAUACGUAGGGCGCAAGCGUUGUCCGGAAUUAUUGGGCGUAAAGAGCUCGUAGGCGGCUUGUCACGUCGGAUGUGAAAGCCCGGGGCUUAACCCCGGGUCUGCAUUCGAUACGGGCUAGCUAGAGUGUGGUAGGGGAGAUCGGAAUUCCUGGUGUAGCGGUGAAAUGCGCAGAUAUCAGGAGGAACACCGGUGGCGAAGGCGGAUUUCUGGGCCAUUACUGACGCUGAGGAGCGAAAGCGUGGGGAGCGAACAGGAUUAGAUACCCUGGUAGUCCACGCCGUAAACGUUGGGAACUAGGUGUUGGCGACAUUCCACGUCGUCGGUGCCGCAGCUAACGCAUUAAGUUCCCCGCCUGGGGAGUACGGCCGCAAGGCUAAAACUCAAAUGAAUUGACGG